Gossypium arboreum is the source of this 145-nucleotide non-coding RNA. Lineage: Eukaryota; Viridiplantae; Streptophyta; Magnoliopsida; Malvales; Malvaceae. The record is from Rfam.
UGUUAAAAUUUUCAUCUAUUUGUACUAUUAAAAACUAGUGUGCUUGGCCGAAAAACCAAACAGUGACACGUGGAGUGCCACAUGUACAUUAUAUUGACAUACAAAGACUAAUUUUUAACAUUAAAAAUGGAUGGAAUUUUUAACA